UACGUAGGGUGCGAGCGUUGCCCGGAUUUAUUGGGCGUAAAGGGCGCGUAGGUGGUUCUGUGUGCUCCGCGUGAAAUCGCCCGGCUCAACCGGGCGGGGUCGCGGAUGACUACAGGACUGGAGCCUGGGAGGGGGAAGCGGAAUUCCCGGUGUAGUGGUGGAAUGCGUAGAUAUCGGGAGGAACACCAGUGGCGAAGGCGGCUUCCUGGACCAGAGCUGACACUGAGGCGCGAAAGCGUGGGGAGCGAACAGG
RNAcentral lists this ribosomal RNA (253 nucleotides) under uncultured bacterium. RNAcentral describes it as "partial 16S ribosomal RNA". It matches the Rfam family "Bacterial small subunit ribosomal RNA", at positions 524 to 776 of the family's 1533-position model. The record is from RNAcentral.